UACGGAGGGAGCUAGCGUUGUUCGGAAUUACUGGGCGUAAAGCGCACGUAGGCGGCUAUUCAAGUCGGGGGUGAAAGCCCGGGGCUCAACCCCGGAACUGCCCUCGAAACUAGAUAGCUAGAAUCUUGGAGAGGCGAGUGGAAUUCCGAGUGUAGAGGUGAAAUUCGUAGAUAUUCGGAAGAACACCAGUGGCGAAGGCGACUCGCUGGACAAGUAUUGACGCUGAGGUGCGAAAGCGUGGGGGAGCAAACAGG
RNAcentral lists this ribosomal RNA (254 nucleotides) under uncultured bacterium. RNAcentral's name for it is "partial 16S ribosomal RNA". It matches the Rfam family "Bacterial small subunit ribosomal RNA", at positions 524 to 776 of the family's 1533-position model. The record is from RNAcentral.